AGAGUUUGAUCCUGGCUCAGAACGAACGCUGGCGGCAUGCCUAACACAUGCAAGUCGAACGAACUCUUCGGAGUUAGUGGCGCACGGGUGCGUAACGCGUGGGAAUCUGCCCUUGGGUGCGGAAUAACUCAGAGAAAUUUGUGCUAAUACCGUAUAAUGUCUUCGGACCAAAGAUUUAUCGCCCAAGGAUGAGCCCGCGUAAGAUUAGCUAGUUGGUGAGGUAAAAGCUCACCAAGGCGACGAUCUUUAGCUGGUCUGAGAGGAUGAUCAGCCACACUGGGACUGAGACACGGCCCAGACUCCUACGGGAGGCAGCAGUGGGGAAUAUUGGACAAUGGGCGAAAGCCUGAUCCAGCAAUGCCGCGUGAGUGAUGAAGGCCUUAGGGUUGUAAAGCUCUUUUACCCGGGAUGAUAAUGACAGUACCGGGAGAAUAAGCUCCGGCUAACUCCGUGCCAGCAGCCGCGGUAAU
RNAcentral lists this ribosomal RNA (470 nucleotides) under uncultured bacterium. RNAcentral describes it as "bacterial SSU rRNA". It matches the Rfam family "Bacterial small subunit ribosomal RNA", at positions 8 to 524 of the family's 1533-position model. The record is from RNAcentral.